UUGAAAAAGAAGAAUGAUAGUCAUGACAUGAAAGAGGGAGAGGAAAAUCAGUCAUUGGUUUGGAGUAAAGAGUUUAGGAUUGACAUAACCACAUUGUUUGCCGUUACGAAGAGUGGUUGUGUUCUAGCCUACGGUUAUAACUAUCUCAGCAUUUACGAGCCAAAUUCUUUAACCUCGAAAUGGCUCGUGAAGUUUAAGAGACCGUUUUUUCAAGUAUGCGCUCACCAGAACACCUUUGUUUCAUUGAAAGAAUUAGGCGAAGAAGAUGUAAAAGUAUUGGAUUCAGUUGAAAUUGGGGAGACAAGAAGCCGUGAUUAUUCUUUCGAGCAGCUCCAGGAGGAUGGCGAACCCUGAAACUGGUAAACUUUGUUGAGUUCCUGGAAGUAGUUUGCAUGUCAUUCUACAGACGUUGAGUUUCGUUUUGAGAUUGGAUAACAAGGAACCUUUAUGUGAAAUGUUAUUGACAUUGUCUUAGCAUAGACGGUCCAAUAGCUUUGUUUUUUGUUUCUGGUGAAGCAAUAUUGCUUUGUUACUUGUGCAUUUUGUGAGACAUUAGAUAUUAUAGUCUUUUUCAUAUUUUCGGCUAGUGUGAUUUUGCAGAAAAUGGUAGUUUGAAUAGGAUACUGCCCUAUUACUUUCUCUGUAAUAAUAACUAAUAUGAUUUGCGAUUCCAUUCUGUUGUUUUGUCUUCAUAUAAUGCCCUUUUUCCAUCUCCAUGAAAAGGAUCAGUUACCAAGCUACCUUGCAGACUGCAAUUGUAAUUUUAUUUUUGGUCAAUGUGGCCACUGAUUAGUAGAACUUAGACCAUUUUAUUUCUGUAGAUUCAAUGCCGCAUGAUUCUUUCUCCUAGUUCCAACUUUGAUCUUCGCCACUAAGACCAGGACCUUUUGAGAAUGCUGCAAAUAUUUGCUUCAAGUCUAAAAUUUCUGUGUCUCAUCAUUGUUUGGAAUUCAUAACUGCGUAGGAAACAAGUGUGCUUAAUGCGGCAUCAAAACUGGUUCCUUGUACAAAUAUUGUAUCUCAGUUAUGUAGCAGCUACAAUUCUAUCUAUAAUCUGCUAAAAAGUAGCUUUGACGAAAUCAAUAAGAUUGUUUUAUGAAAAGAUUAUAGCAUUUGUAGGACCUUGCUUUAUUCUGAUCUUACAGUGGUGAUCAUUGGUUAGACAGAUAAUUAGUUGAUACGUACAUAUACUGCUCUUACGGUAAAGAUCAUAGAGUAGAAUCAUUUUCCAUCUCUGUGGAAUCCUAGAAAAAAUGUUUGAAAAAUUAAUAUAUCAUAAACUGUUUUAAUGUCUGGUGACGAAAUUGUUUUGAAGCCCGAAGCAUUUCAUACUAUGAUCAAUGAAGAGUCAAUGAGCUUCAACAACAUGGAAACUGAUCAGUUGAAGCUCAAAACUACACUUACAUAUGAAAUGCUGGUUCUUGAUAGUGCAAAUUUAUGAUAUUCGACUACUUCAAGGAGCAAAGAGCAAACUGGCUUAUUGCACCAAAAGGUCCCAAUUUAUUUAUUUUUCUGCAAGACCUGUCACUGAACUUUAUGCUUCUGCAUCUGCGAUAAGGCUUCAGAAAGCUUAUAAGAGUUACUGGACUCGGAGAAAUCGUGCAGAUUGUGCAGUUCUAGUGUAGGAGCUUUGGUGGGAUAUUGGACUUUGCCACAUUCAACCGGAGUUUGGUGUCCUUUUUCAACAUUGAGAAACCAGAAACAACUGUUUCAUGAUAAAAACGGACAAGGACAAGAUCUGCCAAGGGCGCUCUGUUGUUAAAAAAUCAGUGUACUCUUAUUAUGCGGAAGCCAAAUGUAUGUAGAAUGCAGAGCAAGUAUUGGAUAUCAGCUUAUGGGAGAGACUUGGUAACAUUGGAUUCUGAGGGAGUUGUCUUUUUUGAGUUGUCUUUUAUGAAUCAUGAAUCAUUCCAGGAAGAGACUGCUGCUGUUAUCAAAUUGCCACCGUUAAGGAUGGCCACGCAGUAAGAGCGGUUUGAACAGAGCCAGGUUCAGUCACUUCACCAGAAGUUCAGUCAUGUACUAGAUUUUUUCAACAGAGCCAGGUUAUUUAUCAAUUCAGACCAUAUUUAAAAAAGAAUUAUUGGAUCUUCAAAUUUCUGAACUUUUGAACGUGCAUCUACUUUCCAAACCAGCCUCAUCAUUUUCUGCAGGUAAUAACAUUGAAAGGAAAGUAUAAGUGUUGAAUUACGGCAUUUACAUUUCGUCUCCUUAUUUAAUUUGAUGGGAAAAGGAUCUCAAAGCUGCUGAUGGAAAUGAAUACUAUCGAACAACUGGGGAGAUUGUAGAGACUACUAUGAAGCCUAAUGCAGCUGAUUUCUUCCCAUGGUUACGAAACUUAAACCUGCAAAAUUUGAACAAGAGAAGGUAGAAUGCAGCAAAUACGCUCAUAAACAUCACAAAAGAUCGAAGACGACACAUGCAUUUACUGUGUUCAGAUUUGUUUCGGUCACUGUCCCCGUCUGAUUCAUUAUGUAUAGGAAAACCCAUGUCAACAUAUAUUGGGUGCCUGAGGAAAACAAUGAAGAUUCUUGACUUUGUGGUGCUAACUUCACUACCAAAUCGAAGGAACUUAAGAAUGGUCGCCUGUCUUAUUUGGAAAUCAAUAUCUUCACAACCUGUAGUAGCAUCGAAAAUUUUCUUAUUUGAGGGUACAAAAUGGCAAAAGCUACAUAUCUCUUUUUGGUUCGACACUUUGAUGUUUGGAGAGGUGAUACACCAUUAAAUUUUUAGCAGUAAUUCGAAGUGGGGAUUGUAAAUGAGAAACUCCUCUAACUCUUAACUAUAAAUACUGAAGCUCAUGCCAAAAAGGUUUUACUAUA
Papaver somniferum (opium poppy) is the source of this 2822-nucleotide long non-coding RNA. RefSeq lists it as uncharacterized. The record is from RefSeq and is a predicted model, not a curated record. The transcript has 4 exons. Lineage: Eukaryota; Viridiplantae; Streptophyta; Magnoliopsida; Ranunculales; Papaveraceae.